This 429-nucleotide ribosomal RNA is filed under the name Verrucomicrobiota bacterium. RNAcentral's name for it is "Verrucomicrobia bacterium partial 16S ribosomal RNA". It matches the Rfam family "Bacterial small subunit ribosomal RNA", at positions 355 to 776 of the family's 1533-position model. Lineage: Bacteria; Pseudomonadati; Verrucomicrobiota. The record is from RNAcentral.
UAGGGAAUCUUCCGCAAUGGACGAAAUUCUGACGGAGCAACGCCGCGUGAGUGAAGAAGGAUUUCGGUUCGUAAAACUCUGUUGUUAGGGAAGAAAAAAUGUAUAGUAACUAUAUACAAAAGAGACGGUACCUAACCAGAAAGCCACGGCUAACUACGUGCCAGCAGCCGCGGUAAUACGUAGGUGGCAAGCGUUGUCCGGAAUUAUUGGGCGUAAAGCGCGCGCAGGUGGUUUAGAAAGUCUGAUGUGAAAGCCCACGGCUCAACCGUGGAGGGUCAUUGGAAACUAAUAAACUUGAGUGCAGGAGAGAAAAGUGGAAUUCCUAGUGUAGCGGUGAAAUGCGUAGAGAUUAGGAGGAACACCGGUGGCGAAGGCGGCUUUUUGGCCUGCAACUGACACUGAGGCGCGAAAGCGUGGGGAGCAAACAGG